This 253-nucleotide ribosomal RNA is filed under the name uncultured bacterium. RNAcentral's name for it is "partial 16S ribosomal RNA". It matches the Rfam family "Bacterial small subunit ribosomal RNA", at positions 524 to 776 of the family's 1533-position model. The record is from RNAcentral.
UACGUAGGGGGCGAGCGUUGCCCGGAAUUACUGGGCGUAAAGAGAGCGUAGGCGGCACUACAAGUCUCAUGUGAAAUACCCGGGCUUAACUUGGGGGUUGCAUGGGAAACUGUAGAGCUUGAGUACAGGAGAGGCAAGCGGAAUUCCUAGUGUAGCGGUGAAAUGCAUAGAUAUUAGGAGGAACACCAGUGGCGAAGGCGGCUUGCUGGACUGAAACUGACGCUGAGGCUCGAAAGCGUGGGGAGCAAACAGG